Molecule: long non-coding RNA, 235 nt
Filed under: Physcomitrium patens
Lineage: Eukaryota; Viridiplantae; Streptophyta; Bryopsida; Funariales; Funariaceae
Description: long non-coding RNA (PPAT_LNC010574)
Source: RNAcentral
UGAAAUUGAAUAAAAUAGAAAAAUAAAUUCUAUUUAUAAUAUGAUUGAUAAAACAUUGAAAUUGAAAAGAAUAUAGGAUAGUUAAAAGUUAUUCUUAUGAAAAUUUGCAACAAUAACUUUUAUUUUAGUUGAUUAAUUAUAAAAUUGAUGUUGCAUAUAAUAAGUUCCUACAUUUUAUUUUCAAACUUUUUUGUAGCCAAUGGCAUGGAUUUCCUCUAGGAAAUAUAUAUAUAUA